GAUCCUGGCUCAGGAUGAACGCUGGCGGCGUGCUUAACACAUGCAAGUCGAACGGAACUACUUUAAUGAGAUUCUUCGGAAAGGAUUUGAUUUAGUUUAGUGGCGGACGGGUGAGUAACGCGUGGGUAACCUGCCUCAUACAGGGGGAUAACAGUUGGAAACGGCUGUUAAUACCGCAUAAGCGCACAGUACCGCAUGGUACCGUGUGAAAAACUCCGGUGGUAUGAGAUGGACCCGCGUCUGAUUAGCUGGUUGG
RNAcentral lists this ribosomal RNA (256 nucleotides) under uncultured bacterium. RNAcentral describes it as "partial 16S ribosomal RNA". It matches the Rfam family "Bacterial small subunit ribosomal RNA", at positions 15 to 252 of the family's 1533-position model. The record is from RNAcentral.